UGGGGGAUAUUGCACAAUGGGGGAAACCCUGAUGCAGCGACGCCGCGUGGAGGAAGAAGGUUUUCGGAUUGUAAACUCCUGUCGUUAGGGACGAUAAUGACGGUACCUAACAAGAAAGCACCGGCUAACUACGUGCCAGCAGCCGCGGUAAAACGUAGGGUGCAAGCGUUGUCCGGAAUUACUGGGUGUAAAGGGAGCGCAGGCGGUGCGGCAAGUCAGAUGUGAAAACCCGGGGCUCAACCCCGGGACUGCAUUUGAAACUGUCGGACUAGAGUAGUGCAGAGGUAGGCGGAAUUCCCGGUGUAGCGGUAAAAUGCGUAGAUAUCGGGAGGAACACCAGUGGCGAAGGCGGCCUACUGGGCACCAACUGACGCUGAGGCUCGAAAGUGUGGGUAGCAAACAGGAUUAGAUACCCUGGUAGUCCACACCGUAAACGAUGAUUACUAGGUGUUGGAGGAUUGACCCCUUCAGUGCCGCAGUUAACACAAUAAGUAAUCCACCUGGGGAGUACGACCGCAAGGUUGAAACUCAAAGGAAUUGACGGGGGCCCGCACAAGCAGUGGAGUAUGUGGUUUAAUUCGACGCAACGCGAAGAACCUUACCAAGUCUUGACAUCCUCUGACGAACGUAGAAAUACGUUUUCUCUUCGGAGCAGAGAGACAGGUGGUGCAUGGUUGUCGUCAGCUCGUGUCGUGAGAUGUUGGGUUAAGUCCCGCAACGAGCGCAACCCUUAUGGUCAGUUACUACGCAAGAGGACUCUGGCCAGACUGCCGUUGACAAAACGGAGGAAGGUGGGGAUGACGUCAAAUCAUCAUGCCCUUUAUGACUUGGGCUACACACGUACUACAAUGGCGUUAAACAAAGAGAAGCAAGACCGCGAGGUGGAGCAAAACUCAGAAACAACGUCCCAGUUCGGACUGCAGGCUGCAACUCGCCUGCACGAAGUCGGAAUUGCUAGUAAUCGUGGAUCAGCAUGCCACGGUGAAUACGUUCCC
Molecule: ribosomal RNA, 995 nt
Filed under: uncultured bacterium
Lineage: Bacteria
Description: bacterial SSU rRNA
Rfam family: Bacterial small subunit ribosomal RNA
Source: RNAcentral